Molecule: ribosomal RNA, 406 nt
Filed under: uncultured bacterium
Lineage: Bacteria
Description: partial 16S ribosomal RNA
Rfam family: Bacterial small subunit ribosomal RNA
Source: RNAcentral
AUUGAACGCUGGCGGCAGGCUUAACACAUGCAAGUCGAACGAGUGGCGGCCGGGUGAGUAAUGUCCGGGAACCUGCCCGAUGGUGGGGGAUAAUUACUGGUAACGGUAGCUAAUACCGCCUACCAUCGGAUGUGCCCAGAUGGGCUUAGCUAGUUGGUGGGGUAACGGCGCACCUAGGGGACGAUCCCUAGCUGGUCUGAGAGGAAGACCAGCAACACUUGAACUGAGACACGGUCCAGACUCCUCCGGGAGGCAGCAGUGGGGAAUAUUGCACAAGUGGCUCAACCCUGAUGCAGCCAUGCCGCGUGUAUGAAGAAGGCCUUCGGGUUUUAAAGUACUUUCAGCGGGAAGGCGUUACUCUCAGAAGAAGCACCGGCUAACGCCGUGCCAGCAGCCGCGGUAAUAC